UUUUGUUGUGGUUGUUUGUGUGAUUGAGUUACCACCACCAAAUCAACUGUUAUUGGAAACAUUUCAGGUAUGGCUUUUAGAAGACCUGGACCUACUCUUGCCUGUUUUGACCCUCCAGUUUAUUGUGGAAGGAAGUAUCAUGUGGUUUCAUGUCUCCGGCAGAUCAAUCACUUUCCUCCAUCCAUAGCAGGGAGGAGUCAUGGCACCCCAGAGGGAUGAAAUACUUCUCCCCAAGUAUUUCUUAUUCUGUCUCUUCCUCUCUCUCAUUCCCUGCUCCACAUCUCUUUCUGUCUCCUUUUCCAGUUCUCUCUCCCUCCUCAUCUCACUGCAUGCCACUGUUCAGGCUCCUGGGGCUCCACGUGGAUGGGCGGACACGGGACUCCUAGGCUAAGUUUCACGGCACAAGCACAGGGCUGCAGGACCUAGGUCCCCCACCUCCCAGCACCCUCAAAAUGAGAGGUGUGGGGUGUGCCCGUGUUCUCCUGGGUGGGCGCCCCACGCUCCAGGAAGCAGAAACUGCAGGACAAAGCUGACACAAGUGACAUGCCCACGUGGCUGCCAGCUUCCCUCUUGGGAUCUGCUGAGGCCAAAGCAGAGGACACCUGCCCACAACCGACCCCGCACCAGGGUGGGGGGAGGGGUGGGUUUGGGGGUGGGAAUGGGGAUGGGAACAGCCACUGCAAAGCAGUCCCUGGCUGGCUUCCUGCCCUGCACCCUGUCAUGCAAGGCCUCUCCUCCCGCCCCACCCCUGCCCCUCACCACCUCCACCCCUAGGCUGUCCAAAUCCAGGCUCCAGAAGUCUCCCAGGAUCCAAGAACUAAGGGCAACCACUGGGCUCCGCAGCCCCUAGUCCAUGAGUCAGCCACCCCUCUGCAUGCUGACAAACCUUGGCUAUCACUUAUCCUCCACCCCAAACCAGCCCCAGCCUCAUCCUACUGCAGGCCUGUGUGGCUGCUGGAGAAGCCGGGCUCCUUUCCUCACUCCAAGGCUGCCUGAUAUACUUUCUGGAUCCUGGAGAAAACUGACCCACUAUUCUCAUACUGGUGCAGCUUCUUCCAAGACCUCAAAAUUGGACAACGUGAACUUGUCUUGUUUCUUGUCUCUUCUUGCUAGGACUGUCAUGGGGACAGUCUGAGAUGGGGGGUGGGGGGAGAAAAUGGAUGAAUGGAUGGAUGAAUGGACAUCCCCCCACCAGCAUUACCACCUCCUCCUAAACAUAGUCCUGAGAGCUCUAUUUCCUGGUAAACUUCCUCCUUCCCACCCUGGUCCAGGGAAGCCCAAAGGCCAGCGCCCUCCACCCACCCUUCCUGGGGUCCACUCUACUGUCUGCUUGCCCAGAUGUCUUAACCCAGCUUUACCAAGCUAGGACAGAUAGCAGGGAUGAGCCCCCAGCCUCUGCCAGGAAGAUUUGCCAAAAUGUUCUCAGUUUAGAAGCAGGGGCAGUGACGGGGCCUAGGGAUGACUCCAGGGUUGUCACUCAAGUAGCAAGAAGGGCAAGGAGGCCUGUUUCCUGCCCUUACCCUGGGAGAACUUGGCCGGGGCUCCACAAGGCCCUGCAGGGGCAGCAGGAGAGCAAAUCCACGCUCCUUUUGAGGAAGUCACCACCAUCCCUAGGAAGCAGCAGAUGGGGGUGCACUGGCAGAGCCCUCGCGUGCUAUAGGGCGAGGCCAGCAGAUCUGUACUCAGCCUCAGCCCCAGGGGAGCUGCAAGAUAGACUGAGACCCUCACAGGUUUGGCUCUGUGUCCCCACCCAAAUCUCAUCUGGAAUUGUAAUUCUCCUGUGUCAAGGGAGGAACCUGGUAGGAGGGGAUUGGAUUUGGGGACAGUUUCCCCCGUGCUGCUCCCCGGAUAGUGAGGUAGUUCUCAGGAGAGCUGAUGGUUUCAAAAUGUGGCACUUACUGGUUCUCCACUCACUCCCUCCUGCCAUCUUGUGAAGAAGGUGCCUGCUUCCCUUUCACCUUCUGCCGUGAUUGCAAGUUUCCUGAAGUGCAAGUCAAUAAAGCCUGUUUCCUUUAUAAAUUACCCAAUCUCAGGUAUUUCUUUAUAGCAGUGUGAAAACAAACGAAUACAGUCCCCUUCCCUGAGGUGCCUUCUCCUUAGGCAACCAGCUGCCCCCAUGCUCCUCCUCUGCCCCCUGGUAUUUCCUUUCCCCUCAUGAGGCCCAAGUGAUCCACAUGGCCAGCCCCAACCCCAUCCUACUGCAGGCCUGUGUGGCUGCUGGAGAGGCCGGGCUCCUUUCCUCACCCCAAGGCUGCCUGAUAUGCUUUCUGGAUCCUAGAGAAAACUGAUCCACUAUUCUCAUACUGGUGCAACUUCUUUCAAGACCUCAAAACUGGACAACAUGAACUUGUCUUGUUUCUUAUCUCUUCUUGCUAUGGCUGUCAUUGGGACAGUCCGAGAUGCGGCAAGAGCUGAAAAAGGAGAGCUGCUCAGAGCUGAAAAAACCUGCUCAGUGACCCUUCUCUUUCGUCCUCAUGGUGGCUUCGUAGAGUGGGUGCUGUUCCCAAAUGUACCCAUUCGACAGGAAACUGGGCAUCUCUGUGGCCCUGAGCAUCCCAGGAGGCCGAUCGUACAGAGACCUCUGGUGCCUGACCGCAGUUCACAUCCACAUCCCUGGAAUAGCCCAUCACAGGCUCUUCACCCUUGGCAGGUGGACACCAUUCAACCUGCCAGGGCAGGUGUGUGCCCGUUUCAUGGCAUAUGGGGACAACGGGAUUCUCUGUCCAGGUCCCACUCUUCUCGAGUCCUUGGGAAGAUGCCCACCCCUGCUUAGGGCUUCAGACUGCAGAGACCCAUGGAUGUGUGGGCCACGGGGUUUGGACCCUUUUUACCAGAGCGCAGUGGUGGAAUGCAGGUUAUACAACCAGCCAGCAUCUGGGAGCCCAGCGGGAGCAGUUCAGGGGUUCUCUGAAGCUGUCGGGUACAGUGUAACCUUUAGACAACUUUGUCUCACAGGAUGGACAUGGUAGAGGGCGCGGAUAGUGUGCAGGCAUAGGAGCGGGAGGACAUAAUUAUGAAGUAUCAGAAGGUACAGUUCGGUCUGCUCCUUGGAGGGAGGCCUUUUCCUGUGCGCCCUGGUCAAAGGGUCCUGGGUUCCCUCCGAGCACAGGGCAGGGACAGGUGGCCAAUACCCCCAGGCCCUUGCACCCUUUACCUUGGACCCCUCACCAAGGCUCCCUCUGGGUUACAGGGACACCGAGCUGGGCUGCCAGAGGACAAGGGGCCUGAACCUGUUGGAAUCUACAGCAGCGUUGAUCGCUUUGGGAUUCUGCAGUGAGUCCUCUGUGCUCCCCUCACCCCUAAAGCAGCUGUCUCAGCUCAGGGAUGGGUUUGCUUUUAGAAAGGCCUUUCUGACGCAGGACAUGUCUCGCCAGGUCGGGCCAACCUCUUUUCCAGGGUCAGAACUCCUCCCUGGCUC
Molecule: long non-coding RNA, 3418 nt
Filed under: Homo sapiens (human)
Lineage: Eukaryota; Metazoa; Chordata; Mammalia; Primates; Hominidae
Description: non-protein coding lnc-EVPLL-1:1
Source: RNAcentral